UACGUAGGGACCAAGCGUUGUUCGGAUUUACUGGGCGUAAAGGGCGCGUAGGCGGCGUGACAAGUCACUUGUGAAAUCUCUGGGUUUAACCCAGAACGGCCAAGUGAAACUGUUGUGCUAGAGUGCAGAAGGGGCAAUCGGAAUUCUCGGUGUAGCGGUGAAAUGCGUAGAUAUCGAGAGGAACACCAGAGGUGAAGACGGGUUGCUGGGCUGACACUGACGCUGAGGCGCGAAAGCUAGGGGAGCGAACGGG
Molecule: ribosomal RNA, 253 nt
Filed under: uncultured bacterium
Lineage: Bacteria
Description: partial 16S ribosomal RNA
Rfam family: Bacterial small subunit ribosomal RNA
Source: RNAcentral